UUAAAGCUUUCUGAAAUUGUGUGGUGAUACUUUGUGUAUUGUGGCUGUCUGGACUGCAUCAUGUGCUGUGACAUAUACUGUGACACUCUUGAGCUUCACUUGUCAGAGCCCUGGGCACAGUCUUUCUCUGCUGUGAGGACUUUGGCUGCCUGUGCCAUGGUUGUAACCAGGAGGCUGCUGUGCAAGGAGCUCUGUGAGAUCGGGCUGCCAGCAGCCUCCCUGGAGGCAUCCUCUUAGGCUCAGCCUUUCUAUAGUCCUGCCUGAGCUAUGUUGCUGUUUUGUAGUCUGGCCAUGUUCUUCCUGAGCCAGAUCUCCUGAUCUUAGUGUCUGGGUUGCCUUUGAUCUGUUACAUCCCUGAAGACUUGUCUGGCAAGCACUGGAUUGUCCUCUGACCCAGUGUAGUGUCACCAGACCUGCUCAGGUAGGGUGGGACUUCACCCUUGUUGGUGAGGGCAUUGCCCUGCUGUCAACCCUUGGCUCCCAGUUCAUCUUCCUUGCAGAGCAGCUCUCCUCUGCUUCCUCACACCAGGUCACCGGAGCCACUUCUUAACUGCUGAAGGCAGAAGUAGAAUUCAUUAACACACUCUCUGGCAUACAAAGCAGUCACUGUCCACAUCUUAGACUGUGACUCCUCCAUGAUGAAUGCCUGCCAUAUGAAGGUGGAGUGACCUCUAGCAAGUUGACAUUUGUUUCCUGUGAGCUGAUUACUGAAACCCUGAUUACUCAAAAAGCCCUUUUAUUCUUUCCAUCCUCAUCAGACACUCUUCUCAAUCAAAUGAGUUUAUUUACUUCCACUGAGGACUAAAGCCCCAGCUUUACAAGGAUCUGGUUCAACAAACUCUUUCACAGGCAUUAUUUAUCCAAGGGAUUUGAUAUAAAUGCAUGCACUACAAUGGACACUAUCCCCUU
Molecule: long non-coding RNA, 909 nt
Organism: Zonotrichia leucophrys gambelii
Lineage: Eukaryota; Metazoa; Chordata; Aves; Passeriformes; Passerellidae
Exons: 3
Source: RefSeq, a predicted model, not a curated record